Molecule: long non-coding RNA, 354 nt
Organism: Sorex fumeus (smoky shrew)
Lineage: Eukaryota; Metazoa; Chordata; Mammalia; Eulipotyphla; Soricidae
Exons: 3
Source: RefSeq, a predicted model, not a curated record
UGGGCGUCUCGGAAGAGAGGCGAUGCCCUACAUCCUUGACUCCAGGCUGGGGAGCAGCCCCUUGGUCUGCAAACAAGUAGCACAGGUCUGUCUUACUGGCCCGUCUCCCAGAUGGCCUUGAAGAUGAAGAUGUAGCAGUAGAUGAUGACGAGCAGGGGCAGGAAGAAGACGAAGCAGAAGAGGAGCAGCGUGUAGGCGCGGAAGGACGGUGUGAAGCGCAUGUAGUCCCAGGAGCACGAGGUGUAAACACUGAGGCUUCAGGGCGAGGCAGACAGCUCAAAGGGCUGGAGCACGUGUUGUGUGCACAUGAGGCCCUGAGUUCAAUUUCCAAUCCCACAUGGCCCCAUGAGCACU